GUGGGGAAUAUUGGACAAUGGGCGCAAGCCUGAUCCAGCCAUGCCGCGUGAGUGAUGAAGGCCUUAGGGUUGUAAAGCUCUUUCAGUGGGGACGAUAAUGACGGUACCCACAGAAGAAGCCCCGGCUAACUUCGUGCCAGCAGCCGCGGUAAUACGAAGGGGGCUAGCGUUGUUCGGAUUUACUGGGCGUAAAGCGCACGUAGGCGGAUCGUUAAGUCGGGGGUGAAAUCCUGGAGCUCAACUCCAGAACUGCCUUCGAUACUGGCGAUCUUGAGUCCGGAAGAGGUGAGUGGAACUCCUAGUGUAGAGGUGGAAUUCGUAGAUAUUAGGAAGAACACCAGUGGCGAAGGCGGCUCACUGGUCCGGUACUGACGCUGAGGUGCGAAAGCGUGGGGAGCAAACAGGAUUAGAUAUCCUUGUAGUCC
Molecule: ribosomal RNA, 425 nt
Filed under: uncultured bacterium
Lineage: Bacteria
Description: bacterial SSU rRNA
Rfam family: Bacterial small subunit ribosomal RNA
Source: RNAcentral